RNAcentral lists this ribosomal RNA (257 nucleotides) under uncultured bacterium. Its description in RNAcentral is "partial 16S ribosomal RNA". It matches the Rfam family "Bacterial small subunit ribosomal RNA", at positions 28 to 297 of the family's 1533-position model. The record is from RNAcentral.
GAUGAACGCUGGCGGCAUGCCUAACACAUGCAAGUCGAACGCUUCCGGGGCGUUCGGUCCCGGGGGAGUGGCGCACGGGUGAGUAGCGCGUGGGAACCUGCCCUGUUGUGGGGGAUAACCGAGGGAAACUUCGGCUAAUACCGCAUACGCCCGCGGGGUAACCCGGGGAAGAUUUAUCGCAGCAGGAGGGGCCGCGUCGGAUUAGCUGGUUGGUGGGUAACGGCCCACCAAGGCGAUGAUCCGUAGCUGGUCUGAGA